ACCAACAGGGAUUACCUCAGUAACGGCGAGUGAAGCGGUAACAGCUCAAAUUUGAAAUCUGGCUCUUUCAGGGUCCGAGUUGUAAUUUGUAGAAGAUGCUUCGGGUGUGGCUCCGGUCUAAGUUCCUUGGAACAGGACGUCAUAGAGGGUGAGAAUCCCGUAUGUGACUGGUUGCCUUCGCCCAUGUGAAGCUCUUUCGACGAGUCGAGUUGUUUGGGAAUGCAGCUCUAAAUGGGUGGUAAAUUUCAUCUAAAGCUAAAUAUUGGCCAGAGACCGAUAGCGCACAAGUAGAGUGAUCGAAAGAUGAAAAGCACUUUGGAAAGAGAGUUAAACAGUACGUGAAAUUGUUGAAAGGGAAGCGCUUGCAACCAGACUUGCACGCCGUCGAUCAUCUCAGGUUCUCCUGGGUGCACUCGGCGGUGUUCAGGCCAGCAUCGGUUUCGGUGGUUGGAUAAAGGCCUUGGGAAUGUGGCUCCUCUCGGGGAGUGUUAUAGCCCUCGGUGCAAUGCAGCCUACUGGGACCGAGGACCGCGCUUCGGCUAGGAUGCUGGCGUAAUGGUUGUAAGCGACCCGUCUUGAAACACGGACCAAGGAGUCUAACAUCUAUGCGAGUGUUUGGGUGUUAAACCCAUACGCGUAAUGAAAGUGAACGGAGGUGAGAACCCUUUAGGGUGCAUCAUCGACCGAUCCUGAUGUCUUCGGAUGGAUUUGAGUAAGAGCAUAGCUGUUGGGACCCGAAAGAUGGUGAACUAUGCCUAAAUAGGGUGAAGCCAGAGGAAACUCUGGUGGAGGCUCGCAGCGGUUCUGACGUGCAAAUCGAUCGUCAAAUUUGGGUAUAGGGGCGAAAGACUAAUCG
Molecule: ribosomal RNA, 856 nt
Filed under: Phaeohelotium epiphyllum
Lineage: Eukaryota; Fungi; Ascomycota; Leotiomycetes; Helotiales; Helotiaceae
Description: LSU rRNA
Rfam family: Eukaryotic large subunit ribosomal RNA
Source: RNAcentral